UUCUUGGAGGUUUCCAUUUUCGUGAGUUUCUAUUCUCGGCUUUGGGCUUUUGGAUGACCCAUCAUUACUUCUUGGACCUAUGUCGCACCUAAACCCUAACCCUAGCCACUUAAUCAGCCGCACCUAGGCCUUGUUCACAUGCAAAAAUCUGAUUAGUAACCCUAAGCCCAUGCCGCACCUUUCCAUCCUAGAAGCCCUAUUUUACAAACCUUAACCCUAGUCCACUUAAGUAGCCGCACCUAACCCUAGCCCAAUCUGAUUUCUUUAGGGUUUUAGGUGCCUAUAUAUAUGUGUUUUACACCUUGCCGCAUAUAAUCUCCCUCUCCACAAAUCAGAAAUCAUCCAACCCUUAUUUCCCCACCUUGCCGCAGCCACCAUCCUCCAUAUACCUCCUUGCCGCAGCCUUCAUCCAUUCCAGCCACUUCCCAACCUUGCCGCAGCUACCAUCCACCUCCAUACACCAUCCUACACCUCCAUACACCAUCCCUACCCCUUGCCGCACCACCAUACCAUCCUAACUCCCUUCUAAAACCAAAAUCACAUCCAAAAACACCCUAAACCCUCUCUGCCGCAGCAAGGAGAAGAAGAAAGAGGAGCUUGAAGUCAGAAAUUCAAAGUGGAAUUCUUGGGCGUUUUAGGUGUAAUCUUUCUUAUGUCUUCGAUGUUUCAAUUCAAUAAACUUUGUGUUGUGAGUAUGAGGAACUAAACCCCCUUACUUGGGGGGUAAUUCGAAACCAUGUACAUGCUUGCAAUAUGAUUUGAUUACAUUCAGUUGUUAUUUCAUAAGUUGUGGAUUCAAUUCGUUCAUCUAUUUGAUUGAUGACUUAUUUGUGUAUGUUGAUUGAGAGUGCACGCUUAGAUUUCAUGCAUGAAUAUGAUGCUAGAUUAUGAGGGAGUUUCACCUAAUAGUUACAAUCUUAUAAUCACAAGUAGUGAAGGUCGCUUGAAAACGAUCGCGUUGAAUGAAUUCUUAGCAUAAGUUUCAUGCAAUUCAUAGUGACAAAUGCUUCGUCAAUGCUUAUGUUUUUCAUAGAACGUAAUGAUUCGUGCUUGUAUCUCUAUUAUGCAAUUCAUGUAGGGAACUUGUAGGGAAUGUUUUGGGCUGUCGUAUGCAAUCAUCCAACCUAAUAACUUGUGGAAAAACUGAGGGUUAAUUAGUGCAAUUCACGGUUAAUUUGGGGCGUUGAGUAUUCAUAGUUUAUUGGAAGAACAACUGAAAAUCGUUUUGUUUGCAAGUGUGACAUGUGUGGAGAAGAACCUCCUAACUAGCCUUUUAACCAUCUAUUUCACCAAAAUCGUUUUUACAAUCUGUGUUAGUUAAAGUUUCUGUUUUGUGUUAAAUUUU
RNAcentral lists this long non-coding RNA (1345 nucleotides) under Malus domestica (apple). RNAcentral describes it as "long non-coding RNA (MDOM_LNC019048)". The record is from RNAcentral. Lineage: Eukaryota; Viridiplantae; Streptophyta; Magnoliopsida; Rosales; Rosaceae.